This 468-nucleotide ribosomal RNA is filed under the name uncultured bacterium. RNAcentral's name for it is "partial 16S ribosomal RNA". It matches the Rfam family "Bacterial small subunit ribosomal RNA", at positions 28 to 507 of the family's 1533-position model. The record is from RNAcentral.
GACGAACGCUGGCGGCGUGCUUAACACAUGCAAGUCGAACGGAAAGGCCCUGCUUUUGUGGGGUGCUCGAGUGGCGAACGGGUGAGUAACACGUGAGUAACCUGCCCUUGACUUUGGGAUAACUUCAGGAAACUGGGGCUAAUACCGGAUAGGAGCUCCUGCUGCAUGGUGGGGGUUGGAAAGUUUCGGCGGUUGGGGAUGGACUCGCGGCUUAUCAGCUUGUUGGUGGGGUAGUGGCUUACCAAGGCUUUGACGGGUAGCCGGCCUGAGAGGGUGACCGGCCACAUUGGGACUGAGAUACGGACCAGACUCCUACGGGAGGCAGCAGUGGGGAAUAUUGCACAAUGGGCGGAAGCCUGAUGCAGAAACGCCGCGUGCGGGAUGACGGCCUUCGGGUUGUAAACCGAUUUCGCCUGUGACGAAGCGUGAGUGACGGUAAUGGGUAAAGAAGCACCGGCUAACUACGUG